This is a non-coding RNA of Rhizopogon salebrosus TDB-379, 95 nucleotides long. Lineage: Eukaryota; Fungi; Basidiomycota; Agaricomycetes; Boletales; Rhizopogonaceae. The record is from the annotation of a GenBank genome assembly.
GGGCACUUAGCACAGUUGGUAGCGCGCACGCUUCGCAUAUCGCACUGUACAGUGCAGAUUGCGUGAGGUCGUGGGUUCAAAUCCCACAGUGUCCA